This 60-nucleotide transfer RNA is filed under the name Pallaseopsis kessleri. RNAcentral describes it as "tRNA-Ser". Lineage: Eukaryota; Metazoa; Arthropoda; Malacostraca; Amphipoda; Pallaseidae. The record is from RNAcentral.
AGUCAUUAAGUUAAAACAUUUGUUUUGAAAACAACCGAAGGGCUUAAAGCUCAAUGGCUU